GUUUAUUUCUAUUUAAAAAAAAAAUCUUCAUUAAAAACUUGUACCUUAUAAUGGAGCGAUCAGACUUAACAGUACUUAUUGGACACCAACCUUUUCGUUUGGCGAAUGACUACGUACUGCGGAAACGGGUCAUCUUGACAAGAGUCGUCAUCUCGAAUUAUUCAGCGACGAAACAGCAAAAGAAAUUCAUCCAGGCUCAGCAGAGAUGUCCAGGCCACAGGUUUUCAACUUCGGUCAUACUGAGCCCUCUAGCAGUGAUACUGGAUACCAAAGUAGAAGCGACGUUGUGUGGAAAUCAAUCUCGAUUUGAAAUUGGUUUCAACUUCUCAAAGUGUUAAAAACAUAAAAUAAUCAACACUCUCAAUGCCGUGUGGAAUAUCGUCAUCAUACAUCACUGCAUUGCAGGCAAGCCGCAUUAUCGAGUCUCCAGAGAUAUCGAAAAGUUGCCGAGAUAUCGAAAAUCCCCAGAGGACGUAAGAAAAGUCAUUCAAGAUAAAACAGGACCCGUACUAUUAAGACAGGUUUUCAAGGUAGAUGACAGUGAUCUAAAAAAAGACAGGCUACUAUGAACAUCAAGUCACUGGAGUCGGAGGAUGCAUGGACUGGAAAGAUCAGCCAGACUAGUGAAUUUAUCUGUAAUUCACUAACACCAAAUUCAUCAACUGUUGUGAAAGGCAGAAAGAACGGAGCGUUUUGCAGGAUCUGACAGCCUCUUUUCAGCAAGGCCGGCUUCCAAGUGUUUUCCAAAGUGGAUCCUGUCCGUUAGACCGUUACCAAGGGGUGGAUAAAAUCACAGCAUGGAUCUAACGCCCACGUCUUUGACAUCUAGCAGUCUUUAAAGUAAGUCUCGUAUUAUUUUUUAAAUUCUGACCUUCGUGCAGAGUUUCCGUCAUUUACAUUUAAACAUGGCGUUAGUGAGUUAGCGUGGAAAAAUGCACGAAAAAGUCUUUAGUUUAUCAACGGUUAUUACAAGGGCCGUCAUUAAAAUUAUUGUUUAAAUUAUAUCAGUCGUUGCAGACGAAUCCAAAUUUUGCUUUCUGCUUCUUGAAGAAACGUCCAAACUAUUCUAAAGGACUUGAAUGCAGGUGCCAUGUGGGUCUUUUGGGGGUAGGCUCGAUUUUGCACGACGAAUU
RNAcentral lists this long non-coding RNA (1133 nucleotides) under Daphnia pulex (common water flea). RNAcentral's name for it is "uncharacterized LOC124190853, transcript variant X1". Lineage: Eukaryota; Metazoa; Arthropoda; Branchiopoda; Diplostraca; Daphniidae. The record is from RNAcentral.